Molecule: ribosomal RNA, 460 nt
Filed under: uncultured bacterium
Lineage: Bacteria
Description: partial 16S ribosomal RNA
Rfam family: Bacterial small subunit ribosomal RNA
Source: RNAcentral
CCUACGGGAGGCAGCAGUGAGGAAUAUUGGUCAAUGGACGAGAGUCUGAACCAGCCAAGUAGCGUGAAGGAUGACUGCCCUAUGGGUUGUAAACUUCUUUUAUAUGGGAAUAAAAUGUUCCACGUGUGGGAUUUUGUAUGUACCAUAUGAAUAAGGAUCGGCUAACUCCGUGCCAGCCGCCGCGGUAAAACGGAGGAUCCGAGCGUUAUCCGGAUUUAUUGGGGUUAAAGGGGGCGUAGGUGGAUUGUUAAGGCAGUUGUGAAAGUUUGCGGCUCAACCGUAAAAUUGCAGUUGAAACUGGCAGUCUUGAGUACAGUAGAGGUGGGCGGAAUUCGUGGUGUAGCGGUGAAAUGCUUAGAUAUCACGAAGAACUCCGAUUGCGAAGGCAGCUCACUGGACUGCAACUGACACUGAGGCUCGAAAGUGUGGGUAUCAAACAGGAUUAGAUACCCCGGUAGUC